AGAUUUCCGAAUUCGUGCUGAGAUUUAAUCAGACACCAACCUAUUAGGGCUGAUCAUACUUCCAAGAUACGUGAAGGU
Molecule: microRNA precursor, 78 nt
Filed under: Schistosoma margrebowiei
Lineage: Eukaryota; Metazoa; Platyhelminthes; Trematoda; Strigeidida; Schistosomatidae
Description: mir-3492 microRNA precursor family
Rfam family: mir-3492 microRNA precursor family
Source: Rfam by way of RNAcentral